RNAcentral lists this ribosomal RNA (173 nucleotides) under uncultured bacterium. RNAcentral describes it as "partial 16S ribosomal RNA". It matches the Rfam family "Bacterial small subunit ribosomal RNA", at positions 1328 to 1500 of the family's 1533-position model. The record is from RNAcentral.
GGAAUUGCUAGUAAUCGCGGAUCAGCAUGCCGCGGUGAAUACGUUCCCGGGCCUUGUACACACCGCCCGUCACACCAUGGGAGUUUGUAACACCCGAAGUCAGUGUCCCAACCGCAAGGAGGGAGCUGCCGAAGGUGGGAUAAGCGACUGGGGUGAAGUCGUAACAAGGUAUC